UGGGGGAUAUUGCACAAUGGGCGAAAGCCUGAUGCAGCGACGCCGCGUGGGGGAUGAAGGCUUUCGGGUUGUAAACCUCUUUCGCUAUCGAACAAGGCCCGCUUAGGGUGGGUGGAGGGUAGGUGGAGAAGAAGCGCCGGCUAACUAUGUGCCAGCAGCCGCGGUAAUACGUAGGGCGCGAGCGUUGUCCGGAAUUAUUGGGCGUAAAGGGCUUGUAGGCGGCUUGUUGCGCCUGCUGUGAAAACGCGGGGCUUAACUUCGCGCGUGCAGUGGGUACGGGCAGGCUUGAGUGUGGUAGGGGUGACUGGAAUUCCAGGUGUAGCGGUGGAAUGCGCAGAUAUCUGGAGGAACACCGAUGGCGAAGGCAGGUCACUGGGCCAUUACUGACGCUGAGGAGCGAAAGCAUGGGUAGCGAACAGG
Molecule: ribosomal RNA, 420 nt
Filed under: bacterium
Lineage: Bacteria
Description: partial 16S ribosomal RNA
Rfam family: Bacterial small subunit ribosomal RNA
Source: RNAcentral